This 1503-nucleotide ribosomal RNA is filed under the name Kandleria vitulina. Its description in RNAcentral is "bacterial LSU rRNA". It matches the Rfam family "Bacterial large subunit ribosomal RNA", at positions 1 to 1521 of the family's 2925-position model. Lineage: Bacteria; Bacillati; Bacillota; Erysipelotrichia; Erysipelotrichales; Coprobacillaceae. The record is from RNAcentral.
UCAGGUCAAGGAUCGAAGGGCGUAUGGCGGAAGCCUAGGCACGCAGAGGCGAAGAAGGACGGAGCAAACACCGAAAUGCGUCGGGGAGCCGUAAGCAGGCAGAGAACCGGCGAUGUCCGAAUGGGGAAACCCGCAUGAGCAUGACUCAUGCAUCCCCUGCCGAACACAUAGGCAGGGAGAGGCGAGACGCAGGGAACUGAAACAUCUAAGUACCUGCAGGAGAAGAAAUCAACAGAGAUUCCGUAAGUAGCGGCGAGCGAAAGCGGAGGAGCCCAAACCGUCUUAGGACGGGGUAGUAGGAGCCGCAGAAAGCCGAUCGAAGCAUCAUAGCCGAAGGCGCUGGGAAGCGCCGCCGGAGAGGGCGACAGUCCCGUAGGCGAAAUGGUGGUAGAGGGCGAGCGGAGAUCCUGAGUACGGCGGGACACGAGAAAUCCUGUCGGAAGCAUCGGGGACCAUCCCGAAAGGCUAAAGACUACUGCGUGACCGAUAGCGAACCAGUACCGUGAGGGAAAGGUGAAAAGAACCCCGGGAGGGGAGUGAAAGAGAACCUGAAACCAUAUGCCUACAAGAAGUCAGAGCCCGUCAAAAGGGUGAUGGCGUGCCUUUUGUAGAAUGAGCCGGCGAGUUGCUUUUUCAGGCGAGGCUAAGCAGGAUAUGCGGAGCCGAAGCGAAAGCGAGUCUUAAGAGGGCGAGCAGUCUGAAGGAGCAGACCCGAAACCGGGUGAUCUAGCCAUGGACAGGUUGAAGUCGGGGUAAGACCCGAUGGAGGACCGAACCGACCCCCGUUGAAACGUUGGCGGAUGAUCCGUGGCUAGAGGUGAAAUUCCAAACGAACCCGGAGAUAGCUGGUUCUCCCCGAAAUAGCUUUAGGGCUAGCGUCGCGAGACGGCAUGCGAAGGUAGAGCACUGAAUAUGCGAUGGCCUCAUCCCGAGGUACUGAGCAUAAUCAAACUCCGAAUGUCGCACGUCCAGUCGCGGCAGUCAGUCCGCGGGUGAUAAGGUCCGCGGACAAGAGGGAAACAGCCCAGACCAUCAGCUAAGGUCCCAAAGUGCAUGCUAAGUGGAAAAGGAAGUGGAGACGUGCAGACAACUAGGAGGUUGGCUCAGAAGCAGCCAUCCUUCAAAGAGUGCGUAACAGCUCACUAGUCGAAUGACUCUGCGCCGAUAAUUUACCGGGGCUAAGCAUGACACCGAAGCUAUGGAUUCGAAUGAAUGGUAGGGGAGCGUUCCAUGCGGCGAAGAAGCGCGACCGAGAGGGCGCGAGGAGCGCAUGGAAGAGAGAAUGCCGGCGUGAGUAGCGAGACGUGGGUGAGAAUCCCACGCACCGAUGGCCCAAGGUUUCCAGAGGAAGGUUCGUCCGCUCUGGGAGAGUCGGGACCUAAGGAGAGGCCGAAAGGCGUAUCCGAUGGACGACGGGUGGAGAUUCCCGUACCCCAUCGAGAGCGAGGGAGUGACGGAGACGGCAGGAGCGACCGGCUGACGGAAUAGCCGGGGCAAGCGAAG